Molecule: ribosomal RNA, 440 nt
Filed under: uncultured bacterium
Lineage: Bacteria
Description: partial 16S ribosomal RNA
Rfam family: Bacterial small subunit ribosomal RNA
Source: RNAcentral
CCUACGGGUGGCAGCAGUGGGGAAUAUUGCACAAUGGGGGGAACCCUGAUGCAGCGACGCCGCGUGAGUGAAGAAGUAUUUCGGUAUGGAAAGCUCUAUCAGCAGGGAAGAAAAUGACGGUACCUGACUAAGAAGCCCCGGCUACCUACGUGCCAGCAGCCGCGGUAAUACGUCGGGGGCGAGCGUUGUCCGGAAUGCCUGGGCGUAAAGGGAGUGUAGGCGGCAUAUUAAGUUAUGUGGGAAAGCCCGCGGCUCAACCGCGGAAUUGCACAUAAAACUGGUAAGCUUGAGUGCAGGAGAGGUAAGUGGAAUUCGCGGUGUAGCGGUGUAAUGCGUAGAUAGCGGGAGGAACACCGGAGGCGAAGGCGACUUACUGGACUGUAACUGACGCUGAGGCUCGAAAGCGUGGGGAGCAAACAGGAUUAGAUACCCGAGUAGUC